Molecule: long non-coding RNA, 1690 nt
Organism: Nematostella vectensis (starlet sea anemone)
Lineage: Eukaryota; Metazoa; Cnidaria; Anthozoa; Actiniaria; Edwardsiidae
Exons: 3
Source: RefSeq, a predicted model, not a curated record
UGCGAACAUGGCGUUCGGUUUGUUUGUUGGUGCGAUUGCUCUGUGGUAUCACGUCUCGGCUUUCUGCUUUCUACUAAGCUACUUCGUGUCACAGUUAUAACGGAGGAAAGCCAUUCAGUGGUUUCUGAGAUAUCAAAGAGGGCCGAAGAGUUUCAAUUGCCCGAUCGAGCGCUGUAAAGAGAAAUAUAUUUCACAAACCUUUUCUGGUCGAUGAAUCUCAGGUGGGACAACAAACAAAAUGGAUAUCACUGAAAGGAACCGUACUUUACGGCUCACAGAGAAUUAAUUGGACUUGGUUUCUUUGUUUAGAAAAAUCAGAAGCACUUUGCGAAAAAAAGUGGAGAGUUGCUCGUCUUCAACAAAAGAAAAGGCCACGUUGGGCCUUCGCACAAAAGGCGUUCAAAAGUAAACAAAUGAAUCGGAAAAGAGAAAAACAGUUCUAGUCAAGUCCAAGCAUCACUCGGAACUUUAAAAUGGACAUAGCUAUCUUCAAAGUCAAUUUGUACCCAGAGGUCCGUGUGUUUUAUGUGAAACACCCACGAUUCCCGCUCUUUUUACGGAUGAGAAGAUUUAUGCGUGAGACAGGUGUAAGUUGUAUAUUUGAACUAUAGAAUAGUGGCGAACAAAAAAAAACUGCCCAAUUAUCGCGGAUAAACUUGUUAUUUUGCUAUCAGGAGAAAUACAUCAACUAACUAUGGCCGGUUGCAAUUCUUGAUGUAAUUAUAUCUAAAACGCGUCAUGCAAUGGUUUUCUAGCCACUCUAGUACAUAUAAAGUUCCUGAGAUAUGAUAUAAGAGAAAGAUCUAUUGACUCCUAGCUAAAAAAUAUGAACGUGAAAGCUAUAUUGAACUAACUGAGUAAAAUUAUCUUUCUUAAAAUUUCUGUUAACAAAAAUCGAUAACAAUUCUUUGUGACAUACGAUAGACAUUUUGCAUCUUUGUGUAAAUAAAACAAUGAAACGCGCGUGCCGAAUUGAUUAUGUGUGUUGUUAAGAGCCAACCACGGAUUAUAACCAGGAUCAUUUACAAUUUACAUGAAUUAAAUGAAGUCAUAAAAGCGACGCUUCAGAAGCGAACGAACAAACGUUUACCGUACUAAUAAAGAGGAUAUGUUUAUACGGGCGAAUUCUGACAACAACUUCAACGCAUUUGGUGGAGGGGGGGUGAGCUAGAAAAGAUGCCGAUGUAUAUUGUUCUAUAUGAAAAUGCUCAAACAUGAAACACGUCGUUUUUGUGGGUGUAAGCGUGCUGGUAGUAGCAGUUAUCCUAGAGGCGCACUUCACAAGAGCGCACUUCGGUAUCAACCACCCUGGUGGCAAGCGAGGCCUGGCGGCGGCGAUUAUCAAGGAAGGCAGGAGAGCCCAUAAUAUCCCCGUCAGGAUAUCUAUCCCAGUGGUGGAAGAGACGGACUGGGCCCCACCAAGGGAGAAGGAGUCUAGACCAUGGUGGUCUUGAAUGGGAGAAGUGAAACUGAAAAAAAAAACCCUAGGAUGGAUACUACACAUGGUGGGAGCCAUAACGGAGAGAUAUGGAUGAGGACGUGCAAAGACAAUAAGAAUUCGUGAACAGCACACUUUUCCCCUUGUAAUUCUAUUUUAGAUAGGAUGAUAGCAUCAUUACAUUUUUAAAAUGGAAAUAUAUUUUCCAUCUUAAGUCACAGUGCUUUUUGUGAAAUAAAACGUAUGAAGAUU